GACGAACGCUGGCGGCGUGCCUAAUACAUGCAAGUCGAACGAGAGCGCCCGGUGCUUGCUCUGGUCAAUCUAGUGGCGAACGGGUGAGUAACACGUGGGUAACCUGCCCAUCAGAGGGGGAUAACAUCCGGAAACGGAUGCUAAUACCGCAUAGGUCUCCGAACCGCAUGGUUUGAAGAGGAAAAGCGGCGCAAUCUUCUGCUGAUGGGCGGCCCCGCGGUGUUUUCGCUAGUUGGUGAGGUAACGGCUCUCCAAGGCCGUGAUGCAUAGACGACCUCGAAGAGUGAUCGGCGACCUGAGGACUGAAACGCGGACAAAGCUCCUACAGGAGGCAGCAGAAUGUGAUCGGCGGCAGUGGGGGGGAGUCUGGCAGAGCGACGCCGCGGGGGAUGAAAAAAUGCUCGGAUCGUAACACUCUCUUGUUAGUGAAAAACCAGUGCUAGCGUAGGAGUUAGCGCAGUGACGGUAUCUAACCAGAAAGCCACGGCUAACUACGUG
RNAcentral lists this ribosomal RNA (498 nucleotides) under uncultured bacterium. RNAcentral's name for it is "partial 16S ribosomal RNA". It matches the Rfam family "Bacterial small subunit ribosomal RNA", at positions 28 to 507 of the family's 1533-position model. The record is from RNAcentral.